RNAcentral lists this ribosomal RNA (474 nucleotides) under uncultured Allobrachymonas sp. RNAcentral's name for it is "bacterial SSU rRNA". It matches the Rfam family "Bacterial small subunit ribosomal RNA", at positions 901 to 1382 of the family's 1533-position model. Lineage: Bacteria; Pseudomonadati; Pseudomonadota; Betaproteobacteria; Burkholderiales; Comamonadaceae. The record is from RNAcentral.
UUAAAGGAAUUGACGGGACCGCACAAGCGGUGGAUGAUGUGGUUAAUUCGAUGCAACGCGAAAACCUUACCCACCUUUGACAUGGCAGGAAUCCUGAAGAGAUUUGGGAGUGCUCGAAAGAGAACCUGCACACAGGUGCUGCAUGGCUGUCGUCAGCUCGUGUCGUGAGAUGUUGGGUUAAGUCCCGCAACGAGCGCAACCCUUGCCAUUAGUUGCUACGAAAGGGCACUCUAAUGGGACUGCCGGUGACAAACCGGAGGAAGGUGGGGAUGACGUCAAGUCCUCAUGGCCCUUAUAGGUGGGGCUACACACGUCAUACAAUGGCUGGUACAAAGGGUUGCCAACCCGCGAGGGGGAGCCAAUCCCAAAAAGCCGACCUCAGUUCGGAUUGUAGUCUGCAACUCGACUACAUGAAGGUGGAAUCGCUAGUAAUCGCGGAUCAGCAUGCCGCGGUCGAAUACGUUCCCGGGCCUU